Long non-coding RNA from Phyllostomus discolor (pale spear-nosed bat), 158 nucleotides. RefSeq lists it as uncharacterized. The record is from RefSeq and is a predicted model, not a curated record. NCBI's taxonomy places the organism in Eukaryota, Metazoa, Chordata, Mammalia, Chiroptera, Phyllostomidae. The transcript has 3 exons.
CUUUGUGAAAUAUUAAUUGACCACAGAGACUUGGGUUUAUUUCUAGGCUCUCUAUUUUGUUCCAUUGAUCUAUUGUCUGUUUUUAUGCCAGUACCAUGCUGUUUUAAUUACCAUGGUCUUAUAGUAUAAUUUGGUAUCAGGUGCCAUGAUACCUCCAA